GGUGAUUAAUUGAUUCUAAAGUGCCAUAUCUAACUCACAUUUUCACAAGUUAUUUUUGCUACCACCACCACCUCUAAUACUACCACCUAUUUUUAACAUCCAUUCUUUUCCCAUGUUCUAUUGGUGGUAGCACUACUGUGAUGACAGACACAUAUAUGUUGUUAAAACAAAUCACAAAUCUUAGUUAAUGCUAUGGAGGUAUUAAUUUUAACUAAUGACCAAGUCUUAUGGGACCUGGUCACCAUU
Molecule: unclassified non-coding RNA, 246 nt
Filed under: Hevea brasiliensis (rubber tree)
Lineage: Eukaryota; Viridiplantae; Streptophyta; Magnoliopsida; Malpighiales; Euphorbiaceae
Source: RNAcentral